This is a long non-coding RNA of Anolis sagrei ordinatus, 1139 nucleotides long. RefSeq lists it as uncharacterized. NCBI's taxonomy places the organism in Eukaryota, Metazoa, Chordata, Lepidosauria, Squamata, Anolidae. The record is from RefSeq and is a predicted model, not a curated record.
GCGGCAUGUGUGUUUUCGAGCGCUUGGCGCGGUGCCCCCCGGCCCAUACACAUUGUUUGGCACCAGCUGGCAUUAGGAGGCAUGGAAGAAGGGGAUGACAAAAAAGAAAGAGAAAGGGAGAAAAGAAGAAAGAUGGGAGAUGAGUCGGUGUGCUUUGAUGGCAGCGGGCAUCUGAGAUGGGACCCCGUCGGAGCUCGUGGGCACCUGGGACGAGUGAUGGGAGGAAUAAUACGAGAUAGGGAUUUGAGAGACGGAGAGGAUAUGCCAAUGGAAACUGAGGGUUGUGGGCAGGGAAGUUGGGUAUGUGGAGAUGGGUGUGCCAAGGUUGGGGGGGGGGUAGCUACUCAUCUGAGCCCCCAAGGCAUGGGCAUUGCCACCCUGACCUGUUCUGUGUUAAAUAUCUCCUUUUUUCUCUUGCUCAUUCUUGCUCCUGUUGCUUUUCACGGCGGCACACCUGUGCCCAUCUCAAGUUGGCACUGAGUCAAAGCUGGUUGGAGCUGGCAUCACCCGCACUGGCACGUGAACAGAGUUGCUGAUCUUGGCACUGCGGCAAACGGUGGGAAGAAGAGGAGAAUGAUAAGUUGCUGCCAUUACGGCUGCCUGGGCACAGCCUUGUAGUAGCAGCGGACUUACUGCAGCAUCCAUUUGCCCAUGGUAAAUAUUGGAUUGCCUACCAGUCAAGACCACAAUCUAGAAGGAUCUGGAAUCAUCCGUCGGUCUUCUUGGUGAACGCUUUGAGAGCUUAUUUAGCAGUAGGACAAGAAGACAUUCAUCAAGCCAAGUUUCCUCCAUCGUUCCAUGAAAGGAAGAACUUCAUUUCCUGAAUUAACUGGCAAAACAGGCUCUCCAGGUGACUUUGAACUACAACUCCCAUCAUUACUGGCCACACUGGCAGGGGCUGAUGAGAUACCAAGAUCAAUCUCAUCUGGGAAGGUCACUGGUCCCCAGUUGUAUAAAAGAAGCACUGGAAUCCAAAAGAGAAGCAAUGCCAUUCAAUCCCAGUCAUUUUACUUCCUUCUGAAAAAUCAUCCAGUAAGCUCACUCACCACCAGCAGCAGCUUUUCUACACAUUCAGGCACCACAUUGUGAAUGUGACUGAGGUGAAAGUGGAGGUUGGUGCGGCCCACCAGCUGCUCCUG